Molecule: ribosomal RNA, 418 nt
Filed under: uncultured Eubacteriales bacterium
Lineage: Bacteria; Bacillati; Bacillota; Clostridia; Eubacteriales
Description: bacterial SSU rRNA
Rfam family: Bacterial small subunit ribosomal RNA
Source: RNAcentral
UAAAUGACGGUACCUGACUAAGAAGCCCCGGCUAACUACGUGCCAGCAGCCGCGGUAAUACGUAGGGGGCAAGCGUUAUCCGGAUUUACUGGGUGUAAGGGGAGCGUAGACGGCAGUGCAAGUCUGGAGUGAAAGGCGGGGGCUCAACCCCCGGACUGCUCUGGAAACUGUACAGCUGGAGUGCAGGAGAGGUAAGUGGAAUUCCUAGUGUAGCGGUGAAAUGCGUAGAUAUUAGGAGGAACACCAGUGGCGAAGGCGGCUUACUGGACUGUAACUGACGUUGAGGCUCGAAAGCGUGGGGAGCAAACAGGAUUAGAUACCCUGGUAGUCCACGCCGUAAACGAUGAUCACUAGGUGUCGGGGGUUAAAGAACCUUCGGUGCCGCAGCCAACGCAGUAAGUGAUCCACCUGGGGAGUA